GACGAACGCUGGCGGCGUGCUUAACACAUGCAAGUCGAACGGAAAGGCCCUGCUUUUGUGGGGUGCUCGAGUGGCGAACGGGUGAGUAACACGUGAGUAACCUGCCCUUGACUUUGGGAUAACUUCAGGAAACUGGGGCUAAUACCGGAUAGGAGCUCCUGCUGCAUGGUGGGGGUUGGAAAGUUUCGGCGGUUGGGGAUGGACUCGCGGCUUAGCAGCUUGUUGGUGGGGUAGUGGCUUACCAAGGCUUUGACGGGUAGCCGGCCUGAGAGGGUGACCGGCCACAUUGGUACUUAGAUACGGCCCAGACUCCUACGGGCGGCAGCCGUAGGGAAUAUUGCACCAUGGGCGCGAGCCUGAUGCAGUCACGCCGCGUGCGGGAUGACGGCCUUCGAGUUAUAAACCGCUUUCGCCUCUGACGAAGCGUGAGGGACGGUAAUGGCUUAAGAAGCACCGGCUAACUACGUG
This 468-nucleotide ribosomal RNA is filed under the name uncultured bacterium. RNAcentral's name for it is "partial 16S ribosomal RNA". It matches the Rfam family "Bacterial small subunit ribosomal RNA", at positions 28 to 507 of the family's 1533-position model. The record is from RNAcentral.